Molecule: non-coding RNA, 721 nt
Organism: Odocoileus virginianus texanus
Lineage: Eukaryota; Metazoa; Chordata; Mammalia; Artiodactyla; Cervidae
Source: RefSeq, a predicted model, not a curated record
UAGAAGAGCUGGGACCCACCGGUAAGCCAGCCAUCUUAAAGAAACCAGGCUCACUUUACUGAGUAGCUCAGCCAUUAAGACUUAGAUUUCCUGUGUGCUAAGUAUUGAGGCGCCUUAGUAACAGAGUGCUUUUCCACAUCCAGCCCUGAACACUUAUGUGAGAAGUCAGACUGUUCUGCAGGAGAGAAUGCUUGGAGUGGCAGAUGCUGAGACUACAUGAAAAAGGAGAGUGACCUAAGACUGGUCUUCUAGUCAUCCCUGACAAGACAAUAGGUGUAAACAAGUUAUAUUGGCACCUACAGCCCAGCCCAGCCAUCGGCUGAAUACCAUGAUUCUAGGUGCAACGUGGAACAGAAGAAUCAUCCAACUGAGCCCUGUCUGAAUUCCUGACCAACCAAGUUAUGAGAUAAAAUAAAACAGCGGUUGUUUUGGGCUGCUACAAUUUGGGAUGGUUUGUUAUACAGCGUUAGAUUAUUGGAACGCUUGAAGAUGUAUUUAUAUCAAGGAGGGGAAAGAGAAGAUGGCCCCUUCUUCCAAGACAUGAAAGGAAGAUGUUGCGGGCACCCCCAGUAAAGGCUGGGGACACUUCAACCUUUGGGGUAAAGAGGAAAGUGUGCCUGGAACUUUUCAGAAAGGUUUUGCUUUUCUGGUUAGAGAGACCUCUGAAGCUGCUCCUUCCCUCCUUCUUUCUCCUUGGAUAUUGAUGUGGUAUCUGGCACAG